AGCAGUAGCCACGGGAAUACAGAGGGUGCGAGCGUUAAUCGGAUUUACUGGGCGUAAAGCGUGCGUAGGCGGCUUUUUAAGUCGGAUGUGAAAUCCCCGAGCUUAACUUGGGAAUUGCAUUCGAUACUGGGAAGCUAGAGUAUGGGAGAGGAUGGUAGAAUUCCAGGUGUAGCGGUGAAAUGCGUAGAGAUCUGGAGGAAUACCGAUGGCGAAGGCAGCCAUCUGGCCUAAUACUGACGCUGAGGUACGAAAGCAUGGGGAGCAAACAGGAUUAGAUACCCCAGUAGUCCCUGUCUCUUAUAA
Molecule: ribosomal RNA, 303 nt
Filed under: uncultured bacterium
Lineage: Bacteria
Description: partial 16S ribosomal RNA
Rfam family: Bacterial small subunit ribosomal RNA
Source: RNAcentral